RNAcentral lists this ribosomal RNA (669 nucleotides) under uncultured bacterium. RNAcentral describes it as "partial 16S ribosomal RNA". The record is from RNAcentral.
GCAUUCCGCCUACCUCAUCUACACUCAAGCCCGCCAGUAUCAAUGGCAAUUUAGGAGUUAAGCUCCUAGAUUUCACCGCUGACUUAACAGGCCGCCUACGCACCCUUUAAACCCAAUAAAUCCGGAUAACGCUCGCAUCCUCCGUAUUACCGCGGCUGCUGGCACGGAGUUAGCCGAUGCUUAUUCAUACGGUACAUGCAGGGAGCCACACGUGGCUCUUGUUAUUCCCGUAUAAAAGAAGUUUACAAUCCAUAAGACAGUCAUCCUUCACGCGACUUGGCUGGUUCAGGCUCUCGCCCAUUGACCAAUAUUCCUCACUGCUGCCUCCCGUAGGAGUCUGGUCCGUGUCUCAGUACCAGUGUGGGGGUUCAACCUCUCAGUUCCCCUACCCAUCGUCGCCUUGGUGAGCCGUUACCUCACCAACUAGCUAAUGGGACGCAUGCCUAUCUCACAGCGAAUUUCAUUUCCUCUACUUUGGAUGCCCAAAGUGGAGUGUACGCGGUAUUAGUCCGUCUUUCGACGGGUUAUCCCCCUCUGUGAGGCAAGUUGCAUACGCGUUACGCACCCGUGCGCCGGUCGCCAUCAGUCUUAGCAAGCUAAGACCAUGCUGCCCCUCGACUUGCAUGUGUUAAGCCUAUCGCUAGCGUUCAUCCUGAGCCAGGAUCAAAA